UUAUCGUUAUCUUUUCUUUUUUGCAGUCAAAGCCUGCCUUCUGACUUUAAUCUGUAGACGAAUUUGAGACAUAUCCAUCUCCACUCCCUUGGAGGACAUGUUUUUGCGGCGAUUCCCUCGGCAGCGAUCUUGAUAGUAGUCUAUUAGCGAUUAUAAAAUGUUGCUCCUUAAUAACGUUGCAUUCGGUUUGCGGGUGUCCGUUCGGUUGGUUGCACUGAGACCACUCAUUCCGUUCUAAGGAUGGAGAAGGCACCAGUUUAAGGGAGCAUAAUUAUCGCUGUCAGAGUGGCCGGCGAGGUUGGUUUUUAGUAUCUCUCUUUAUUCAGAAGCGUUGAUCAUGUCUGCGAAGGAGCGACUUAAAAGCAAGAUGAGCAAAGACAGCGUUACCUUGCUGCCCUGUUUUUAUUUCGUGGAGCUCCCGAUCCUGGCAUCUUCGGUGGUGAGCCUGUACUUCCUGGAGCUAACGGACAUCUUCAAGCCUGUGCAUUCAGGUUACAGCUGCAAUGACCGGACGCUGAGCAUGCCCUACAUCGAACCUAAGAAGGAGGUCGUUCCCUUCCUCAUGCUCUUCAGCCUGGCUUUUGCUGGCCCAGCAGUCACGAUUAUGAUCGGUGAGGGAAUCUUGUACUGUUGCUUGGCCAGAAGGAACAUCGCCAUCAAAACUGAAGCCAACAUAAAUGCUGCUGGCUGCAAUUUUAACUCCUACAUCCGGCGGGCUGUAAGGUUUGUGGGGGUCCAUGUGUUCGGCUUGUGCAUCACAGCCCUCAUCACUGACAUAAUCCAGCUCUCCACUGGCUACCAUGCUCCUUACUUCCUGACAGUGUGCAGGCCCAACUACACAACACUGAACACCACCUGUGACGAGAACGCCUUCAUUGUGGAUGACAUCUGCUCAGGGCCCGACAUCACAGCUAUCAACGCUGGCAGGAAGUCCUUCCCAUCCCAGCAUGCCACCCUGGCUGCCUUCGCUGCGGUGUAUGUCUCUAUGUACUUCAACGCCACGCUGACCGACUCCUCCAAGCUCCUCAAACCUCUGCUCGUCUUCUCCUUCAUCAUGUGUGCUGUCAUCUGCGGCCUGACGCGUAUCAUCCAGUUCAAGAACCACGCCAUUGAUGUCUACUGUGGUUUCCUCAUUGGUGGCAGUGUUGCCAUCUACCUGGGCCUGUACGCAGUGGGGAACUUCAAACCCAGUGAGGACACCUCCCUCCAUCAACGGCAGCGCCUGCAUGCCCACCUGCACCCCCACCCGCACCCCCACCCACACCCGCACCCACACCCACACCCACACCCACACCCACACCCGCAGCCCCUGCCACCGCCACAACAACCCCAGUCGACCCUGCAGAUCUCGGGGCAGCCACAGGCACUCGUGCCCCCGGCAGUGCUGCGUGAGCCCCUACGUCCGCUGCCCAACCUGACAACGGAGCAUGUAGCACGCCUGCUGCAGCCCAAGAGCCUGAGCAUGCGUGAGCGGCCCACAUCAGCACGCUCCGAAAGCAUCCUGCUGCGCGGGCCGCAGCGCUCCGGCAGCUCCAUGGGCAGCCUGAAGCGGGCAAGUACCGAGCUAGAGUGUAUAACCCCGCCCAGUCCACUGUGCAAGGAGAGCCUGGUGACGUUCAGCAACACGCUUCCGCGCACGCACUCGUUGGGCGGCGAGGAGCCCAUACCCCGCCGCCACGCCGCCAUUCACGCCUCCAUGGACUCCACGCGCUCCAAGCAGCUCCUGUCGCAGUGGAAAAGCAAGAACGAGGGCCGCAAGAUGUCGUUGCAGGCACUGGGGGCAAUGGUAAUGCCGGAAGGUGAAGAGGUGCGCUCACCGCAGAGGAGCAUGGAGCUACGCUGCAGCUCUGAGCCGGCCGCCAUGGGCCUGGACGGUGAGCUGCGCGGUGGGCCAAUGCCACAGUAUGUCAAGUUGCCGCCUGGUGCCGUGCCACUGCCCAAUCAUGUUGGAGGUGGUGGGCUGGCAGGAGGGGCCCGCGUGUCCAUCCAGUCACGGCCAGGUUCAUCGCAGCUGGUGCACAUCCCCGAGGAGACGCAGGAGAACACGUGCUCCUCGCCGCGAGAGGAUUGUGGGGAGGUGUGCGAUGGCGGAGGUGGGAACGGGCGCUCCAAAUGGCUGAAGGUGGCGGAGAAGAGCGGCGUGUGCAGGACUAACAGCCAGCCGCGCAUCAUGCAGGUGAUCGCCAUGUCCAAGCAGCAGGGCAUGCUGCAGGGCAGCCCCAAGAGCGAGGGCAGCACCGUCAGCUGCACGGGCUCCAUCCGCUACAAGGCGCUGACGGACCAGGAACCAGGCCCGGGCAUCGUGCAUGUGGACGCGCACCCAGAAAGCCGGCCCAUGGUGAAGUCGCCCUCGGCCGAUGGUACCGGCUCGUGGAGGUGGAGGCCACAGGAACGCGCCAGCCUGCGGCAGUCCUUCGAGCUCAACGACCUCAACCGCGACUCGGAGAGCUGCGACUCGCUCAGGGACGCCUACGGCUCCGUGGAUGGCCAGCGCAGCCUGCCGGACAUGAGCAACCCCCACCACCCACACUUCCACCACCACCACCAUCCACACCACCCACACCACCACCCGCACCAGGGCAUCACCACCAUCCGUGUGACACCUGUGGAAACAGGCAGUGAGGCCGCCUCCGAGACGCUUUCCGUUGCCUCCAGCCGGGACUCCACCCUCCGACGCAAAAACAACGUCAAUGUCAUCAUGCUGCCUGACCGUGGCCCAAGUCCGGACAACACCAGGAACCUGCCACAUUUUUUCAAAGCCUCCCCCACUCCUCCUCCCACCGUGACCUUUAAAGACUGAGCCUGAAGUUAUUCCCUUGUUUUCUUUUUUUUCCAAUCCCGGAGUGGCCUUGCUCGCUUGACUUGCAGUUCUCCGGAGGGACAGUUUGUAGACAGCUUGGAUAUUUACAGCAGGGCUCCUUCCCAACCUGCCCUUCACCCACCACCUGCUGGGGGAGGAUUGGGAUCGGCAGGGUCAUCCACCUCCUUUUCCUCCACCACUCCAUGUCGCCUCCCGAAAAUGGUUCCGGCUCCAAACCGCUGGCGGUGUGCAGAGAACGAAGGUUCAGCUUCGAUUCUUUUUGUCCCUCAUCACAGGAAUAUUCCUCUAAUAAUCAUUAUUCAUAGAGUGCCUCCGAAAAAAAUCAGAGCCAGAUAUUGAUUUAUUGCUGUAAAUUACUGUAUCUGUGCCAAUGCAGGACAGUAUCUCCCUAAUACAGUAAUGUGCCGCAUAAUCGCCAGAUGCUCUGGAUGCUUUUAGAUACCUUCUUUGAGGUGCAGAACAGCACUAUCAAUAGCUUUGUGUGUGGCACUGAACAUUUGUCAUGAUGUGGGAUCUUGCUACACUUUAGACCGAGUACCAGGGCCUAGAUUGCUAGCAUUUUCAGUGCAUUUCACUGUUAGUAAAAAAGUAAAAAAGCACAUGCCUGGUUGAAGAGUUAGACCCUGACAGCGUCAGUGAAAAAUGCACAAACGGAAAAACAGGUGAGCCUGACCCCCUGAUCUCCUUUUUUGGGGGGCAGGAGAAGUCAGGUGAGGGCUUCCUUGUUAAUGAACCGAGCGCUGAUGCCAGCGUUUGUGACCCUGCCGCAUUGUUUACAUCAUAUUUACAAGACAAAAAAAAAAAAAGAAUGUAUUAAUAACCCUGAUAACUUCAACAUGAUGAGAGUUUAACUGCAACAAAGUACAGUAACAUUUAUAGAACUUAAUGAUUAAGGUAAUUUUUAUUACUUCUGUCUCAUUCAAAAUUAAAUGACACUGAUACACAUAUACAUAUUUUCAAUGUAUGUCUUAAAAGGAUAUAUCAGAAAUUAGCCAUUUAAUUUUAGAAUUUUAUACAUGACUGUACAGUAUAAAUGUACCCUACAAAAUGGCUUUAAACUGAUCUUAGAACUGCAUGGUCAUCUGAUAUUGUAUGUACUGUAACAAUGUUUCUUUUUGGAUAUUUGAGUUUGUUUUUGUUUUUGUAAAUGAUGCCUUUUGAUGGUGAAGGUUGUUACCUUUAUAUAUGCUCAACAGUGCAUUCUAUCCAGUCAACCAAUUAACCACUGGGUCUUUGUAAAUAGAUAAUUGUAGUUUUGCCGGUGAACUCAUGCUAUAGUGUGAAUUAAAAGAGAGAUGUUAAAUUUGGACGGUGUUAUUCACAUGAGCAGCUGUUUAAAGAGUGAUCACAUGGAACACAUUUAUUUGAGUGCUAUAAAGAAAUGCAUUCCUUUUUUGCAUUGGAACAAACAAGGUGGAACAUGGUUGUAAUGGCUUUUUGAAGUUGAACUUUAAAGACAUGACAAAUAAAUAACCUGAUAUUUUAA
RNA transcript from Electrophorus electricus (electric eel), 4307 nucleotides. It is a transcript of the gene named phospholipid phosphatase related 4a, with no coding region annotated. The record is from RefSeq and is a predicted model, not a curated record. NCBI's taxonomy places the organism in Eukaryota, Metazoa, Chordata, Actinopteri, Gymnotiformes, Gymnotidae.